Molecule: ribosomal RNA, 242 nt
Filed under: uncultured bacterium
Lineage: Bacteria
Description: partial 16S ribosomal RNA
Rfam family: Bacterial small subunit ribosomal RNA
Source: RNAcentral
CGAACUCCUUGAGUAAAGUGGCGUACGGGUGAGUAACACGUGACUAACCUACCUCCGAAUGGGGAAUAACACCGGGAAACCGGUGCUAAUACCGCAUAACAUCUACGGAUCAAAGCAGUAAUGCGUUUGGAGAGGGGGUCGCGGCUGAUUAGCUAGUUGGUGGGGUAAUGGCCCACCAAGGCGACGAUCAGUAUCCGGCCUGAGAGGGCGCACGGACACACUGGAACUGAAACACGGUCCAG